RNAcentral lists this ribosomal RNA (492 nucleotides) under uncultured bacterium. RNAcentral describes it as "partial 16S ribosomal RNA". It matches the Rfam family "Bacterial small subunit ribosomal RNA", at positions 29 to 507 of the family's 1533-position model. The record is from RNAcentral.
AGUGAACGCUGGCGGUAGGCCUAACACAUGCAAGUCGAACGGCAGCACAGUAAGAGCUUGCUCUUACGGGUGGCGAGUGGCGGACGGGUGAGGAAUACAUCGGAAUCUACUUUUUCGUGGGGGAUAACGUAGGGAAACUUACGCUAAUACCGCAUACGACCUACGGGUGAAAGCAGGGGAUCUUCGGACCUUGCGCGAUUGAAUGAGCCGAUGUCGGAUUAGCUAGUUGGCGGGGUAAAGGCCCACCAAGGCGACGAUCCGUAGCUGGUCUGAGAGGAGGAUCAGCCACACUGGAACUGAGACACGGUCCAGACGCCUACGGGAGGCAGCAGUGGGGAAUAUUGGACAAUGGGCGCAAGCCUGAUCCAGCCAUACCGCGUGGGUGAAGAAGGCCUUCGGGUUGUAAAGCCCUUUUGUUGGGAAAGAAAAGCAGCAGGUUAAUACCCCGCUGUUCUGACGGUACCCAAAGAAUAAGCACCGGCUAACUUCGUG